UACGGAGGGUGCAAGCGUUGUUCGGAAUUACUGGGCGUAAAGCGCGCGUAGGCGGACCUGCAAGUCGGGGGUGAAAGCCCGAGGCUCAACCUCGGAACUGCCUUCGAUACUGCGGGUCUCGAGUCCGGGAGAGGUGAGUGGAAUUCCUAGUGUAGAGGUGAAAUUCGUAGAUAUUAGGAAGAACACCAGUGGCGAAGGCGGCUCACUGGCCCGGUACUGACGCUGAGGCGCGAAAGCGUGAGGAGCAAACAGG
This 253-nucleotide ribosomal RNA is filed under the name uncultured bacterium. RNAcentral describes it as "partial 16S ribosomal RNA". It matches the Rfam family "Bacterial small subunit ribosomal RNA", at positions 524 to 776 of the family's 1533-position model. The record is from RNAcentral.